This 397-nucleotide ribosomal RNA is filed under the name uncultured bacterium. RNAcentral's name for it is "partial 16S ribosomal RNA". It matches the Rfam family "Bacterial small subunit ribosomal RNA", at positions 523 to 918 of the family's 1533-position model. The record is from RNAcentral.
AUACGAAGGGUGCAAGCGUUACUCGGAAUUACUGGGCGUAAAGCGUGCGUAGGUGGUUGUUUAAGUCUGUCGUGAAAGCCCUGGGCUCAACCUGGGAAUGGCGAUGGAAACUGGGCGACUAGAGUGUGGCAGAGGGUAGUGGGAUUCCUGGUGUAGCAGUGAAAUGCGUAGAGAUCAGGAGGAACAUCCGUGGCGAAGGCGACUGCCUGGGCCAACACUGACACUGAGGCACGAAAGCGUGGGGAGCAAACAGGAUUAGAUGCCCUGGUAGUCCACGCCCUAAACGAGGCGAACUGGAUGUUGGGUGCAAUUUGGCACGCAGUAUCGAAGCUAACGCGUUAAGUUCGCCGCCUGGGGAGUACGGUCGCAAGACUGAAACUUAAAGGAAUUGACGGGG